RNAcentral lists this ribosomal RNA (387 nucleotides) under uncultured bacterium. RNAcentral describes it as "bacterial SSU rRNA". It matches the Rfam family "Bacterial small subunit ribosomal RNA", at positions 28 to 417 of the family's 1533-position model. The record is from RNAcentral.
GACGAACGCUGGCGGCGUGCUUAACACAUGCAAGUCGAGCGGUAAGGCCCUUUCGGGGGUACACGAGCGGCGAACGGGUGAGUAACACGUGGGUGACCUGCCCUCAGCUCUGGGAUAAGCCUGGGAAACCGGGUCUAAUACUGGAUAUGACUCCAUGACGCAUGUUGUGGGGUGGAAAGCCUUGUGCGGCCGAGGAUGGGCCCGCGGCCUAUCAGCUUGUUGGUGGGGUGAUGGCCUACCAAGGCGACGACGGGUAGCCGGCCUGAGAGGGCGACCGGCCACACUGGGACUGAGACACGGCCCAGACUCCUACGGGAGGCAGCAGUGGGGAAUCUUGCGCAAUGGGCGAAAGCCUGACGCAGCGACGCCGCGUGAGGAUGACGGCCU